GUGUUGUAUGAAAGGAGAGAAGUUAGCGCUCCCUUUGACAAGAAUGGAAGAGGCCAUCAGGCCUGACAACAUGCGUACAGUUAAGGCAUUGCCACCUACUUUGUGGCAUCUAACCAUCAUUUUUA
This 125-nucleotide non-coding RNA is filed under the name Aotus nancymaae (Ma's night monkey). Lineage: Eukaryota; Metazoa; Chordata; Mammalia; Primates; Aotidae. The record is from RNAcentral.